UUAAGCGACUAAGCGUACACGGUGGAUGCCCUGGCAGUCAGAGGCGAUGAAGGACGUGCUAAUCUGCGAAAAGCGUCGGUAAGGUGAUAUGAACCGUUACAGCCGGCGAUGUCCGAAUGGGGAAACCCAGUGCAAUUCGUUGCACUAUCGUUAACUGAAUACAUAGGUUAACGAGGCGAACCGGGGGAACUGAAACAUCUAAGUACCCCGAGGAAAAGAAAUCAACCGAGAUUCCCCCAGUAGCGGCGAGCGAACGGGGAGCAGCCCAGAGUCUGAAUCAGCUUGUGUGUUAGUGGAACGGUCUGGAAAGUCCGACGGUACAGGGUGAUAGUCCCGUACACCAAAAUGCACAGGCUGUGAACUCGAAGAGUAGGGCGGGACACGUGGUAUCCUGUCUGAAUAUGGGGGGACCAUCCUCCAAGGCUAAAUACUCCUGACUGACCGAUAGUGAACCAGUACCGUGAGGGAAAGGCGAAAAGAACCCCGGCGAGGGGAGUGAAAAAGAACCUGAAACCGUGUACGUACAAGCAGUGGGAGCACCUUCGGGUGUGACUGCGUACCUUUUGUAUAAUGGGUCAGCGACUUAUAUUCUGUAGCAAGGUUAACCGUAUAGGGGAGCCGCAGGGAAACCGAGUCUUAACUGGGCGUUAAGUUGCAGGGUAUAGACCCGAAACCCGGUGAUCUAGCCAUGGGCAGGUUGAAGGUUGGGUAACACUAACUGGAGGACCGAACCGACUAAUGUUGAAAAAUUAGCGGAUGACUUGUGGCUGGGGGUGAAAGGCCAAUCAAACCGGGAGAUAGCUGGUUCUCCCCGAAAGCUAUUUAGGUAGCGCCUCGUGAAUUCAUCUUCGGGGGUAGAGCACUGUUUCGGCUAGGGGGUCAUCCCGACUUACCAACCCGAUGCAAACUACGAAUACCGAAGAAUGUUAUCACGGGAGACACACGGCGGGUGCUAACGUCCGUCGUGAAGAGGGAAACAACCCAGACCGCCAGCUAAGGUCCCAAAGUCAUGGUUAAGUGGGAAACGAUGUGGGAAGGCACAGACAGCCAGGAUGUUGGCUUAGAAGCAGCCAUCAUUUAAAGAAAGCGUAAUAGCUCACUGGUCGAGUCGGCCUGCGCGGAAGAUGUAACGGGGCUAAACCAUGCACCGAAGCUGCGGCAGCGACACUAUGUGUUGUUGGGUAGGGGAGCGUUCUGUAAGCCUGCGAAGGUGUGCUGUGAGGCAUGCUGGAGGUAUCAGAAGUGCGAAUGCUGACAUAAGUAACGAUAAAGCGGGUGAAAAGCCCGCUCGCCGGAAGACCAAGGGUUCCUGUCCAACGUUAAUCGGGGCAGGGUGAGUCGACCCCUAAGGCGAGGCCGAAAGGCGUAGUCGAUGGGAAACAGGUUAAUAUUCCUGUACUUGGUGUUACUGCGAAGGGGGGACGGAGAAGGCUAUGUUAGCCGGGCGACGGUUGUCCCGGUUUAAGCAUGUAGGCUGAUUGUCCAGGCAAAUCCGGAUAAUCAAGGCUGAGGUGUGAUGACGAGGCACUACGGUGCUGAAGUAACAAAUGCCCUGCUUCCAGGAAAAGCCUCUAAGCAUCAGGUAACAUUAAAUCGUACCCCAAACCGACACAGGUGGUCAGGUAGAGAAUACCAAGGCGCUUGAGAGAACUCGGGUGAAGGAACUAGGCAAAAUGGUGCCGUAACUUCGGGAGAAGGCACGCUGGUGUGUAGGUGAAGCCCCUGCGGGUGGAGCUGAGACCAGUCGAAGAUACCAGCUGGCUGCAACUGUUUAUUAAAAACACAGCACUGUGCAAACACGAAAGUGGACGUAUACGGUGUGACGCCUGCCCGGUGCCGGAAGGUUAAUUGAUGGGGUUAUCCGUAAGGAGAAGCUCUUGAUCGAAGCCCCGGUAAACGGCGGCCGUAACUAUAACGGUCCUAAGGUAGCGAAAUUCCUUGUCGGGUAAGUUCCGACCUGCACGAAUGGCGUAAUGAUGGCCAGGCUGUCUCCACCCGAGACUCAGUGAAAUUGAACUCGCUGUGAAGAUGCAGUGUACCCGCGGCAAGACGGAAAGACCCCGUGAACCUUUACUAUAGCUUGACACUGAACAUUGAGCCUUGAUGUGUAGGAUAGGUGGGAGGCUUUGAAGCGUGGACGCCAGUCUGCGUGGAGCCAACCUUGAAAUACCACCCUUUAAUGUUUGAUGUUCUAACGUUGGCCCCUGACCGGGGUUGCGGACAGUGUCUGGUGGGUAGUUUGACUGGGGCGGUCUCCUCCCAAAGCGUAACGGAGGAGCACGAAGGUUAGCUAAUCCUGGUCGGACAUCAGGAGGUUAGUGCAAUGGCAUAAGCUAGCUUGACUGCGAGCGUGACGGCGCGAGCAGGUGCGAAAGCAGGUCAUAGUGAUCCGGUGGUUCUGAAUGGAAGGGCCAUCGCUCAACGGAUAAAAGGUACUCCGGGGAUAACAGGCUGAUACCGCCCAAGAGUUCAUAUCGACGGCGGUGUUUGGCACCUCGAUGUCGGCUCAUCACAUCCUGGGGCUGAAGUAGGUCCCAAGGGUAUGGCUGUUCGCCAUUUAAAGUGGUACGCGAGCUGGGUUUAGAACGUCGUGAGACAGUUCGGUCCCUAUCUGCCGUGGGCGCUGGAGAAUUGAGGGGGGCUGCUCCUAGUACGAGAGGACCGGAGUGGACGCAUCACUGGUGUUCGGGUUGUCAUGCCAAUGGCACUGCCCGGUAGCUAAAUGCGGAAGAGAUAAGUGCUGAAAGCAUCUAAGCACGAAACUUGCCCCGAGAUGAGUUCUCCCUGAGACUUUAAGUCUCCUGAAGGAACGUUAAAGACGAUGACGUUGAUAGGCCGGGUGUGUAAGCGCAGCGAUGCGUUGAGCUAACCGGUACUAAUGAACCGUGAGGCUUAACCUU
This 2900-nucleotide ribosomal RNA is filed under the name Klebsiella pneumoniae. Its description in RNAcentral is "bacterial LSU rRNA". It matches the Rfam family "Bacterial large subunit ribosomal RNA". Lineage: Bacteria; Pseudomonadati; Pseudomonadota; Gammaproteobacteria; Enterobacterales; Enterobacteriaceae. RNAcentral also lists the same sequence under 3 other names. The record is from RNAcentral.